AGAGUUUGAUCAUGGCUCAGAUUGAACGCUGGCGGCAGGCCUAACACAUGCAAGUCGAACGGUAACAGGAGGCAGCUUGCUGCUUUGCUGACGAGUGGCGGACGGGUGAGUAAUGUCUGGGAAACUGCCUGAUGGAGGGGGAUAACUACUGGAAACGGUAGCUAAUACCGCAUAACGUCGCAAGACCAAAGAGGGGGACCUUCGGGCCUCUUGCCAUCGGAUGUGCCCAGAUGGGAUUAGCUAGUAGGUGGGGUAACGGCUCACCUAGGCAACGAUCCCUAGCUGGUCUGAGAGGAUGACCAGCCACACUGGAACUGAGACACGGUCCAGACUCCUACGGGAGGCAGCAGUGGGGAAUAUUGCACAAUGGGCGCAAGCCUGAUGCAGCCAUGCCGCGUGUAUGAAGAAGGCCUUCGGGUUGUAAAGUACUUUCAGCGAGGAGGAAGGCGAUAAGGUUAAUAACCUUGUCGAUUGACGUUACCCGCAGAAGAAGCACCGGCUAACUCCGUGCCAGCAGCCGCGGUAAUACGGAGGGUGCAAGCGUUAAUCGGAAUUACUGGGCGUAAAGCGCACGCAGGUGGUCUGUCAAGUCGGAUGUGAAAUCCCCGGGCUCAACCUGGGAACUGCAUUCGAAACUGGCAGGCUAGAGUCUUGUAGAGGGGGGUAGAAUUCCAGGUGUAGCGGUGAAAUGCGUAGAGAUCUGGAGGAAUACCGGUGGCGAAGGCGGCCCCCUGGACAAAGACUGACGCUCAGGUGCGAAAGCGUGGGGAGCAAACAGGAUU
This 782-nucleotide ribosomal RNA is filed under the name uncultured Enterobacteriaceae bacterium. Its description in RNAcentral is "bacterial SSU rRNA". It matches the Rfam family "Bacterial small subunit ribosomal RNA", at positions 8 to 779 of the family's 1533-position model. The record is from RNAcentral. Lineage: Bacteria; Pseudomonadati; Pseudomonadota; Gammaproteobacteria; Enterobacterales; Enterobacteriaceae.